RNAcentral lists this transfer RNA (72 nucleotides) under Neofusicoccum parvum UCRNP2. RNAcentral's name for it is "tRNA-Cys (GCA) (tRNA-Cys-GCA-2-1)". It matches the Rfam family "tRNA". Rfam says of the family: Transfer RNA (tRNA) molecules are approximately 80 nucleotides in length. The record is from RNAcentral. Lineage: Eukaryota; Fungi; Ascomycota; Dothideomycetes; Botryosphaeriales; Botryosphaeriaceae.
GCGUCAAUAGCUCAGUGGUAGAGUGUAGGAUUGCAGAUCCCGAGGUCCUCGGUUCGACCCCGAGUUGGCGCU